RNAcentral lists this ribosomal RNA (917 nucleotides) under Bacillus sonorensis. Its description in RNAcentral is "bacterial SSU rRNA". It matches the Rfam family "Bacterial small subunit ribosomal RNA", at positions 33 to 929 of the family's 1533-position model. Lineage: Bacteria; Bacillati; Bacillota; Bacilli; Caryophanales; Bacillaceae. The record is from RNAcentral.
ACGCUGGCGGCGUGCCUAAUACAUGCAAGUCGAGCGGACCGACGGGAGCUUGCUCCCUUAGGUCAGCGGCGGACGGGUGAGUAACACGUGGGUAACCUGCCUGUAAGACUGGGAUAACUCCGGGAAACCGGGGCUAAUACCGGAUGCUUGAUUGAACCGCAUGGUUCAAUUAUAAAAGGUGGCUUUUAGCUACCACUUACAGAUGGACCCGCGGCGCAUUAGCUAGUUGGUGAGGUAACGGCUCACCAAGGCAACGAUGCGUAGCCGACCUGAGAGGGUGAUCGGCCACACUGGGACUGAGACACGGCCCAGACUCCUACGGGAGGCAGCAGUAGGGAAUCUUCCGCAAUGGACGAAAGUCUGACGGAGCAACGCCGCGUGAGUGAUGAAGGUUUUCGGAUCGUAAAACUCUGUUGUUAGGGAAGAACAAGUACCGUUCGAAUAGGGCGGUACCUUGACGGUACCUAACCAGAAAGCCACGGCUAACUACGUGCCAGCAGCCGCGGUAAUACGUAGGUGGCAAGCGUUGUCCGGAAUUAUUGGGCGUAAAGCGCGCGCAGGCGGUUUCUUAAGUCUGAUGUGAAAGCCCCCGGCUCAACCGGGGGAGGGUCAUUGGAAACUGGGGAACUUGAGUGCAGAAGAGGAGAGUGGAAUUCCACGUGUAGCGGUGAAAUGCGUAUAGAUGUGGAGGAACACCAGUGGCGAAGGCGACUCUCUGGUCUGUAACUGACGCUGAGGCGCGAAAGCGUGGGGAGCGAACAGGAUUAGAUACCCUGGUAGUCCACGCCGUAAACGAUGAGUGCUAAGUGUUAAAGGGUUUCCGCCCUUUAGUGCUGCAGCAAACGCAUUAAGCACUCCGCCUGGGGAGUACGGUCGCAAGACUGAAACUCAAAGGAAUUGACGGGGGCCCGCACAAG